RNAcentral lists this transfer RNA (74 nucleotides) under Cosmarium humile. RNAcentral's name for it is "tRNA-Asn". It matches the Rfam family "tRNA". Rfam says of the family: Transfer RNA (tRNA) molecules are approximately 80 nucleotides in length. Their secondary structure includes four short double-helical elements and three loops (D, anti-codon, and T loops). The record is from RNAcentral. RNAcentral also lists the same sequence under 5 other names. Lineage: Eukaryota; Viridiplantae; Streptophyta; Zygnematophyceae; Desmidiales; Desmidiaceae.
UGCCUUAGUAGCUCAGCGGUAGAGCGGUCGGCUGUUAACCGAUUGGUCGUAGGUUCAAGUCCUACCUGGGGCGA